This is an RNA transcript of Triticum dicoccoides, 1636 nucleotides long. RefSeq lists it as uncharacterized. NCBI's taxonomy places the organism in Eukaryota, Viridiplantae, Streptophyta, Magnoliopsida, Poales, Poaceae. The record is from RefSeq and is a predicted model, not a curated record. The transcript has 11 exons.
AAUCCGGUCAGUUCAUCACAACAGAUGCCGACCACCGACCACAUCUCCUCGCCGCCGCAGCCGGCGUCGCCGGGCGUUGGCGCCGUCGCCCUCUCGUCCGCCGUCGGCGAGCUACUCCGCUUCGUCCUCUCCUCCCACGUCGCCGCCCCGGACCCGGCCCUCCCUCUGUCCCUCUCUUAUUGCUCCCGCCUCCUCGAAGACGACCUGUGCGAUAAGCUGGCCACGGAGCUUGCGGGGUGCGCCGAGGAGGGGCGGAUCCCGAGACCCCCAGUGGUAGCGGGGGCGGUAGGAACUCCUGCCGAGGAGAAUGGUUCGCGUAAGAGGGAGGGGGAGUGGGAGGCGGUCCUGCGCGAGAAAGGCGGCGAGUUAAAGCGGAUUUAUGAUGUAGUGGAGUUUGUGCUACAUGUUCAAGAACCAUACUUCACUCAACUCAGUGCUGGAUCCAAGAACGUUGAAGGGAGGUUAGCAGCUGGUAAUUACAACAGGAUUACACAAGGUUCUUUGUUGCUCUUCAAUAAAUGCCUCUUGCUUGAGGUUGAGGCAGUUAGAAAGUACAGUUCGUUCUCUGAGAUGCUGCAAACAGAGACGAUCUCAAAUGUCCUUCCUGGUAUUUCAUCAAUUGAAGAAGGUGUCAAAGUUUAUAGAAAAUUCUACACAGAGGAAAAGGAGAACUCUUAUGGAGUCUUGGCAAUAUCUGUCUCAAAGCCGCAAAUCCAACCUUACAUAACCAUGACUGAGCUUCUUGCUGGAUUGGGUUACGAUGGAUUAGGUAGACUCCUUGGUCUGGCAAACACAUCAGGAACAGUUCCAGAUGGACUGCCUCCUCCAAAAUCCAUGUUGAUUUCAUCUUGUAUGAAACUACACAAGCCAACUGUGAAAAGUUGUUCUUUAACUGAUGCUGCAAGGGCAUUGGCCAAACAUGUUCACAGGAGUAGGGAUGGGUGGUGGGGCUGCCUCCAUGGAAGUGAUCCAAAGAAGAAUCAAAUUUCGUCUGAAGUCAUUGACCGUUUGUUACGUGAGGGCUGUUGGAUUAAUAUUCAUCUGACACAGCCCAAUAGGCCUGUUUUUGAAAUUCGUGUGUAUGAAGGUUAUGGUGCCCGAUGGUCUCAUGAUGGUUUGAAGAUAUAAGAAAACUAGCCCGCUGAGGGAAAGCUUUCCCAAAUGGCUCUUCGAGAUUGGACUCGAGAAGGGCAAGACACCUGUGACAGGGUUACAAAAUAUUAGUGCCUGGACCCUGCAGGGCGAGCCCGGAUAUGAAAAUAAAAAAUGUUCAUUGGAUUCUUGGAGCCUUACACACCAGAUGGCUUUCUCAACGGUUGGAAACACUAGAGCAUGAUCUGAGUGAUGCACACUAGUUCAAAUGUUCUGUAGAAUGGCGGACUGAUGUCUGAACUUAUGUUGUAUGUCUUGUUCAAGGUCGAAGGAAAUGUCUUCUGUAAGGCCUGAAGGUGGAAGUUACAAGUACUUCCAAUACUUUUUCCAAAAUCUGGUUAUAGGGGUUGUUGUUGUCUUAAAUAGGCAAUGUCAUUGUUGCGUGUUGUUGCGUCGUAUGCAACUGUGCCAUGGCGAACAUUGUAAUUUUGGUGCACGUCAGCUCUGAAAGCAUCAGACCAUCAGACAGAUUUCUAUGUUGUAA